AUCCAGAGAAUUUAGCAGAGAUGCUUUAGUGCCUUCGGGAACUCUGAGACAGUGCUGCAUGGCUGUCGUCAGCUCGUGUUGUGAAAUGUUUGGGUUAAGUCCCGCAACGAGCGCAACCCUUUAUCCUUUGUUGCCAGCACGUAAUGGUGGGAACUCAAAGGAGACUGCCGGUGAUAAACCGAAGGAAGGUGGGGAUGACGUCAAGUCAUCAUGGCCCUUACGAGUAGGGCUACACACGUGCUACAAUGGCGCAUACAAAGAGAAGCGACCUCGCGAGAGCAAGCGGACCUCAUAAAGUGCGUCGUAGUCCGGAUUGGAGUCUGCAACUCGACUCCAUGAAGUCGGAAUCGCUAGUAAUCGUAAAUCAGAAUGUUACGGUGAAUACGUUCCCGGGCCUUGUACACACCGCCCGUCACACCAUGGGAGUGGGUUGCAAAAGAAGUAGAUAGCUUAACCUUCGGGAGGGCGUUUACCACUUUGUGAUUCAUGACUGGGGUGAAGUCGUAACAAGGUAGGCGUAGUGCU
RNAcentral lists this ribosomal RNA (525 nucleotides) under uncultured bacterium. Its description in RNAcentral is "bacterial SSU rRNA". It matches the Rfam family "Bacterial small subunit ribosomal RNA", at positions 986 to 1509 of the family's 1533-position model. The record is from RNAcentral.